This is an RNA transcript of Lathyrus oleraceus (garden pea), 6970 nucleotides long. RefSeq lists it as uncharacterized. The record is from RefSeq and is a predicted model, not a curated record. Lineage: Eukaryota; Viridiplantae; Streptophyta; Magnoliopsida; Fabales; Fabaceae. The transcript has 2 exons.
CCAUUGAAGCUUCAAGAAGAGCGAGUUCAACCUUGAAUCCUUCUCAGCUCAAUCUCACCAUAGAGAUUUAGACGAAGAAGAAUUGAUUUAAAGAAGAAGUGAAAGCAGAAGAAGAGAUAUACGAGUUCGUACUUGCUAAUCAAGUGAUUUUUCGUCACCUAUUUCGUCUUCUCCGAUUCAACUUUUUGUCGGAGUGAUCCUCAACUUCAGAGCAACUACGACGACUCGUCAUCACUAUUAUACCCGUGCAAACAAAUCCAAACUCAUGGCUGAUUACAAAUCCGAUAACGCUGUCGUCAAGGAGACUCUCACCCAAGUCCAGGGCAUAAUGGAUCUUUUUUAGGGAAACAUGGAGACCAUUCUGAAAAUUCUCCAAUCUCAGAGGGUUUCUACCUCUAUUAACCCUACUGUUGCAAAUGUCACCAAUGUUGUUGGGGUGGCCAAUGCUACUGCUGAUGUCAUUGUCAUUGUCAAAACUCCUAUGGAGACCGUGGUAUCGACCGUUAUGAAUCAACACAUGUGUUCCUUCUGCUGCAAAUAGGCUUGUUGAUGCUUAUCCCUGUGAAAUGCCCUCAAACUUUGAUGCUCAAUUUGCAAAUGGGGGUGCCUUUAUCCCUCAUCAAGCUCUCGUCGCCCCUAAUGUUGUCGGGAAUGUUGUUAUCCCAUGGGGUGUGCCCAUGAUCCAGACUUCUCCCACAGUUGAUGAUGUCAACCCCAAGGAUGCCCAAGAUCAGGUUCUUGCUGAAACUCCUAACAAAGAAGAUGAGCACCGAGGCCCACGCCUCCACUUUCAGAUUCCUUCCCAGGCUGCUCAACCUGCGAAUCCGAAUCAAUUUCAAGUUGCUCCAUUUGCUUACAUUGGGGACACUUUUGUUCCAACAUUGUCGUAUGCACUUACAAACCCUGCACUCCAGUAUGUGCAGGUUGGGGCCCCUCAGGUCCCUAAUGCUCAAGCUGGAGGGAAGUUCCCUCACAUGAUGCAUGUUGCUUCCCAAAUAGUGCCUCCUGGUUUCUCUUAUCCGCCGUAAUUGUUGUUUGCUCCCUAAAAUGUGUAUGUUCAGGCAUUUGUUUAGGACACCUCCCGGCCAGCCAGUCAGGUCGUCAUUCCUACUGCUAGUUCGGCCCGGGCAGCGGAUUACAAGUUAUUGGAUGAUAAAAUAAGGGUCAUCAAAGGUUUCUCUGCCUUCGACAUAAAUGCAAGAGAUCUUUGUUUGGUUCCUAACGUGGUACUUCCUCAGAAGUUCAAAGUACCAAAUUUACUGAAGUAUAAGGGGCUAAGUUGUCCUCGAAGUCACAUUACGAUGUACUGCAGGAAAAUGGCAUCGUAUAUUAACAAUGAUCAUCUGUUAAUCCAUUAUUUCCAAUAUAUUCUGUUAGGCACAAAAGUCCAGUGAGACUUUUAAAGAGUAUGCUCAAUGUUGGCGUGAAAUGGCUUCCAGGGUCAGACCGACUUUAUCAGAUAAUGAACUCGUUGACAUCUUCAUGGGUACUCUUCAUGGGUUGUACUUUGAGAAAAUGAUCGGCAAUUCUUCCACUAACUUCGCAAACAUGGUGACUAUUGGUGAACGUGUCGAGAAUGGGGUCAAAUCGGGAAAGAUUGCAGGUACCGUCGCCCAAUAGACUAUGAAUAAGAAGCCGCGUGAGGGCUUUACGAAAAAGCAAUAAGGGGAGACAAAUGUUGUAACGACAAGUGUCCAUCCCCUAUAUCAAUUUCCUAUGGAUCUCAUGCCAUAUUAUCUGUAUCUUUAUGUUGUCGUUGCUCAGUAUCAACAACCUUCGUGUAAGUAUUAACCCCAUAAUCGCAAUCAGCAACCAACACCGGCUCAGAAUGCCCAGAAUCAACAGAACACUCGUGAGUAUAGGGGUCAAGGCCAAGGCCAAAACAAUAGGAAUGGCUAUGGAAAGCGUCUUUAUAUUAAUAAGAUAUUGGUACCAUAUGCUAAACUGGUACCCUAUCUGAUUCACAUAGGGGCCCUCAUACCAAAAUAAAUUCCACCUUGCCUUUCUUCCUAUCAUGCCAAAUACAACCCUAAUGCCUCAUGUGCCUUUCACACAGGGCAUAUAUGGCAUUCCACUGAAGAUUGUUGGCCGCUCAAGAAUAAAAUCCAAGAGUUGAUUAACCAGAAGGUUUUGUCUUUCUCAGAAGAAAAGCAUAAUGUGAAAACAAACCCUCUGCCUAAUCAUGGUGGCCCAGCAGUCAGUGUUGUCAUUGAAGAAGAGAUCACUGAAUCUGUUAAGAGGGCUGACAAUGUGAAGACUUCAAUGUUGGUAGUGUUGAAAAAGCUUCAACAGUUUGGGUUUCUAGUUGGCAUCCAUGAAGAUUGCAUUGUGUGUGAAUUUGAUCAAGAUAUUUGUAAUGACCUGAAGGAUUGUAUAUAAGAGUUGAUGAAUCAAGAGUUGAUACAGUUUUCCAUAUCUAAGGCAGUUGAAGAGAUUGUAGUGAUUGAGCCUAUAAUUAUUGUGUAUAAGAAGAAGAAGGUUGAAGCUCCUCCUAGGAAGGUUCAGUCGAUUCAUAUUCGUGUUCCUAGUCUGUUCCCAUAUCAGAACACCAAGCCGGUACCUUGGAAGUAUGAAACAACUGCGUAUGUGGGUGAAAAAGAGAUUCAACCCUGACACUGAAAUUGUUAAUAUAUCUAGAGUGGGAGGCAUGACUCGUAGUGGUUUUGUAUUCGCUCCAAAAUACACUCCUAGGGUGUCUCUGUAGGAGAAUUGCCAUCCAAGGCGCAGCGGAAUUUAAAAAUUUCUCCAUUUAGUUAUCCUUACGAAUGGGCAUGAUCAGUGAUAGAAUCGUUACCUCUUGUGGCGAUUCAGACCUUUGGUGCAGAUCUCUGAUAAUGAUCAAAACCUUUGAUACAGAUCCACGGGGCGAUCACGAACGUUGAACGAUGACAACGUUUCUACUCAGUCCACAUGAACGAAUUCCUUCAAUCGCAGUGCUAGCUGUUAUGAAUGAAGGCUUUGAGUGAGAGAGAGAUACGAAAUUCCAACUCUUCAGUUGUGUUUUCUGUCUCAGUGAGUUACAAUGCUUCUACCCAAGGGGUUCUAUUUAUAGAACCACUUGUGUGGGCUUCAAGUCAAAAAGCCCACUUAAGUGCAUUUUGGCCCAUAUCUCAUAAUAUGCCAAAAUCACUUAAGUAUUUGGUACAUUACCAUAUUUCGUAUUCUACUUAAGUACACCGUACCUUACGAUGUUCCUUAAUUAUUCUAUCUCUCAUCAAUCUGUCCUUUGUGUGUGACCCUAUAGGUUUUCGCGGCGUUGGCAAUUAUAUUAAAUCACGCAUUUAACAUAAUAAACAGUGAGCGGUAUCUAGCAACACAUCACUGCUACCCAAGUCACGAAAAUGGCAUGUGAUCUGACAAAACCUCAUAUGAUAAUAAUUAUGUGUAUAAUUACCCAUUUGCCCUUAUGUCUAUUGUCAUACGGUGAACUGACUUGGGGUAUUUUGCUUUUUAUCGCAAUGUCGCGGAUAGCAAGAGUCGCCACCGACUUUUCUUUUAUCCAAUAAGGAAAGGUGGAAAAGAACAGGAAAGACCUCAAUAGAUUUUGGGUUCGGGAGGUACAUUAUAUAAAGGGAAGGUAUUAGCACCCUUUGUAUCCAUGGUUAUCCAUGGGCUCUUAAUUGCUGGAUCACUUAUAUUUUUGUCUGAAAAGUGUUGGUGAAUUGUUUAAAAAUGUUUCGAAAGAGAGUUUAACUUUGUAAUGAUUCUCGUAUGAAUGUAUACAAAGUAUUUAUCUCGUUUGAUUUGAAAAACAGUUUAGAAAAAUAUAACUUGAUAAUGAUUCUAGUAUGAAUGUAUACCAAGUGGUGAUUUUCUAGGACUUGCAAAGUGUGAGGGGUGGAAAAUGUUUUAGGUUAUGAUCCAGUAAUUGAGAGUUAUACCUUCCUAAGGUCGUUAUGGGCAUUUCCUAUCCUUAUGAGGGUAAAACUGUCCUUACUAUUGAGAAGUAAGUAGUUUUAUCCUUUGGAUGUAAAAGGGUCAUUGUAGGGUCAUCGAUAGGUCAUUGAAGGCAACAGUUGUAAGGAUACCUUAGCAUUCGAAGGGACGAUCAUCAUUUAACCGUAGGCUACACCGAAGGGUCAUCGAGGGACAAAAUCAUAUAUUCGAAGGCAACAUCCGAGGGACUAUGAUUUAUUUUAAAGGGACAUGAUGAUUUAAUCGAAGGGUCUUUGCUAAGGGUAUCCCCACAUUCGCGGGACAUGACCGUAAUACCGUAAUAUCGUAAGGCAAUAAAGAGAGGUCCAAGAUCACAUAUUUAGAGGCCGUAUUUUACAAUCGAUUAGGUAAUUAGGAUGAAUCUCCACAUUAAAAUUAAUACAUUAAAAUUAAUACAUUAAAAUUAAUUAGGUAAUUUAGGGUGAAACUCCACAAGGGUAUCCCACAAAUAAAGUGGAAGACCUAGACAGCAAUCUUUUCCUGGGAAAGGUGAACCUUUACAAAAUUCAGCAAACGGGUUAGAGUACCAAGUCAGGAUGCAAUCAAGGAUUGCACUGCAAAAGAAACCAGAACAGCAGUAGGGUCAGAUAAACAAUGCAUGGCUAUGAUAAAAACAUGACAGGUUAGCAAAGGACAGAACAGAAAAAUCAGCGACCGUCCCGGUCGCCGCUGCCUCGCCUAGCGAGGGCUUAGCGAAUACUCGCUGCAUGCUCGCUUAGCGAUGUGCUAGCGAGCAGCUGCGGAUUCUGGUCUUGAUAACAGCAUAAUGUCAGCAAGCUUCACACCUUAUAGCAUCCAUUACAGAGAUUAUGUGGUUAGACAUUCAGGUGUUCAUGCAUACUUAAAUUCAUAUGUAAAACUUAAGAUAGUUUCAUAAAUUCAAUCAUGAUACCAUAUGCAAAUUAAGAACAUAAGGUAGUAAUAGCAACGCCAACCUGUUUGUAAUCGAAUUGUAACCUUGAGUUGGCCGAUCGGAUCGAAUUGAGCGGAAGUGACCUUGCUGCCGCCGGCUUUUCCUUCAGGGUUUCCUUUAGGGUUUUCCGUCUGUGAGCGCUAGGGUUUGCUUGCUAGGGUUCUCCUUUCGUCCUUUUUCCAUUACUGAAGUGCUGGUAUUUAUAAUGCUCUUCUUUGUGACCUAAUGGGCUCAGAGUGAAGCCCAGAAUUUUCUGUUAUCUGUCAGCUUCGCUAGGCGAGCGUGUAGCGAACGUGUAGCGAACGUUCGCUAGGCGAGCGUGUAGCGAACGUGUAGCGAACAGGCCAGUUUGGGCCAUUUUUUGGAUUGGGCCAUUCGUGAGUUGGGCCUUCGUUCCUUUAAGAUCAGUGUCAUAAAAAUGAGUCGGAGUGCCCUGAAAAAUGUCUUAAAAUAUUAAUGGGCAAAUUUUGGGGUAUGACAGCUGCCCCUGUUCAAUAUUCUUGAACCGAGAGAGUCAGAAUGGUAUGUACGCCAUUCGUGGUCUGGAGGUGGAAGAUUAUUGAACACUUAGAACGCCCCAAAAAUUUGCACUUGUCAAUUAGUUAGUCUUGAUGGAGAUGGGCUUAAAGAUGCCAUCUCGGAAGUUUGAUGAUGAGAGCUUCAGAGUGCGUCGUACGUUAGAAGAUAUCUGAAGUCAUGGGUGUCACUGGGUCAUACGCCAGACCGUAUAGUGAGUCAUUCAUUAGGCCGUCGACUUCACUGGGGAGUUAGAAUGGGUCAUACGCCGCUGGGGAUAAAGGAUCAGAAUGGAUCGUACGCUAGAUCGUAUCUGAGUUGCGAAACGAGCCGUCCGUUAGGCUGUAUCGUUACUGGGGGUGAAGGAUCAGAAUGGAUCGUAUGCUAGAUCGUAUCUGAGUUGUAGACUGAGUCGUCCGUUAGGCUGUACCUGAUGAUGAAGGGGGUAGUCAUACGCCAGACUACACUUCAGAAUGUACCGUACGCUAGGUAGCAUUUGAGGGGAUGAACCUCCAAGCGGGUCGUAAGCUAGACCGUCUCUGAGUAGCAGAACGAGCCGUCCGUUAGGCUGCAUCUGAUAAUAAAGGGGUAGUCAUAUGCCAGACUACACUUCAGAAGGUACCGUACGCUAGGUAGCACCCGAGGCCUUGAAGGUCCAAAUGGGUCGUAUGUUGGACCGUAUUGGAGUUGUUGAAGGUCGGAAUGGAUUGUACGUUAGAUCGCAUCUGAGUUGAAGGAGUCAUAUGUUGAGAUGAAUCAGGAUGGACCGUAUGCUAGGCAGUACCUGAGAAAUAAAGGUCCAACUGGGUCGUACAUUAGACCGUGUUGGAGUAGUUGAAGAUCAGAAUGGAUCGUCCGUUAGAUCGUAUCUGAGUGGAAGGAGUUAUAUGUUGGGCUGAAUCAGAAUGAACCGUACGUUAGACUGUAUCUGAUCGUAUUUGUAGAUGCUGUAUUUGCAAUGAAUAUCUGGGGUGGGCUUAAAGAUGCCACCAUUAGGAGGAUAUCAGAGUGCUUAUCAGAAUGAAUGUAUUUGAAUCUUGAAUGUAAUCGAUAAAGAUGUCCGUCUGAAUGGAUCUUCAUUUUGACUGUAUCAGGAGGAUAAUUAACCUGAAAAAUAAAGUUAGCUUCAUGCCAUGUCAUGAUGCAUGAGAUGUUUUAUGCUUCUGAAACUAAAUGCGUAUGUUGUGAAAUGAUGUAAUGAAUGAAUUAUGCAUCAGAAAAGUUCUUCCAGGGGACUCUACUGGGGAAAAUAAAUCUCAAUCUUCUGGUUGGGAGAUACUGGUAUCGAUGACCCUUUCUUAGCCGGAGAUGCUUGAUUUCUGUCUGAUGGUAGAAAUGUUCAACAGAAGCCCGGCUGGGGGUGGAAGAGAUGACCCAUUUGUCUAGUAAUGCCACUCUCUUCUGGGAAUGACUGGCUUUGCUGGGGAAUAGGAUUAGCAACGGAUUCAUUGGAAAGCAUGAUUAGACCUUCUCCUCGAUCCUGAAGCCUAGUAGUAAUCGCUAUUUCUAUUUUAUGCACGCAUUUUUGGUAAACAUCGAUCAUAUCCAAAUGCAUAUAUUAAUUCGAAUUAAAUCAAUGGACGUUUAUGCAAACAAAACAGAGAA